GCACAUUCAAGAUAGCUCAGUCAGUAGAGCAUGAGACUCUUAAUCUCAGGGCCGUGGGUUCAAGCCUCACGUUGGGCA
Podarcis lilfordi (Lilford's wall lizard) is the source of this 78-nucleotide non-coding RNA. The record is from the annotation of a GenBank genome assembly. NCBI's taxonomy places the organism in Eukaryota, Metazoa, Chordata, Lepidosauria, Squamata, Lacertidae.